This 209-nucleotide long non-coding RNA is filed under the name Elaeis guineensis (African oil palm). Its description in RNAcentral is "long non-coding RNA (EGUI_LNC067475)". The record is from RNAcentral. Lineage: Eukaryota; Viridiplantae; Streptophyta; Magnoliopsida; Arecales; Arecaceae.
UACUUACCUGGCUAAUUUGGUGAACUAGAUUUUGAUUAGAUCACUAAGUGAUUCGAGUUAGCUCAUACCAUUAAGAUUGAUCAGCAUGACUGAUCUAGGUGCCAGUUCAAUCAGCAUAACUUAACCCGAUUUAAUGACUUGGUGAAGUUAGUGGGAGGAUUGUGGUCUAUUGAUUGAUCUUUUUUUCUCUCUUCUUCUCUAAACUAAUU